This 73-nucleotide transfer RNA is filed under the name Pteropus alecto (black flying fox). It matches the Rfam family "tRNA". From Rfam's summary of the family: Transfer RNA (tRNA) molecules are approximately 80 nucleotides in length. Their secondary structure includes four short double-helical elements and three loops (D, anti-codon, and T loops). Further hydrogen bonds mediate the characteristic L-shaped molecular structure. tRNAs have two regions of fundamental functional importance: the anti-codon, which is responsible for specific mRNA codon recognition, and the 3' end, to which the tRNAs corresponding amino acid is attached (by aminoacyl-tRNA synthetases). tRNAs cope with the degeneracy of the genetic code in two manners: having more than one tRNA (with a specific anti-codon) for a particular amino acid; and 'wobble' base-pairing, i.e. permitting non-standard base-pairing at the 3rd anti-codon position. Lineage: Eukaryota; Metazoa; Chordata; Mammalia; Chiroptera; Pteropodidae. The record is from Rfam by way of RNAcentral.
GGUUCUGUAGUGUAGCGGUUAGCACAUCUGCUUUACACGCAGAAGGUCCUGAGUUCACAUCUCAGUGGCGCCA